GUGGUUGUAGCUCAGUGGUAGAGUGCUUGCCUAGCAUGUGUUAGGCACUGGGUUCAAUCCUCAGCACCACA
Molecule: non-coding RNA, 71 nt
Organism: Ictidomys tridecemlineatus (thirteen-lined ground squirrel)
Lineage: Eukaryota; Metazoa; Chordata; Mammalia; Rodentia; Sciuridae
Source: Rfam